RNAcentral lists this ribosomal RNA (253 nucleotides) under uncultured bacterium. Its description in RNAcentral is "partial 16S ribosomal RNA". It matches the Rfam family "Bacterial small subunit ribosomal RNA", at positions 524 to 776 of the family's 1533-position model. The record is from RNAcentral.
CACGUAGGGACCAAGCGUUGUCCGGAUUCAUUGGGCGUAAAGGGUGCGUAGGCGGCGGAGUAAGUUGGGUGUGAAAUCCCGGGGCUCAACCUCGGAAUUGCAUUCAAUACUGCUUCGCUCGAGUACUGGAGAGGAGGCUGGAAUUUACGGUGUAGCAGUGAAAUGCGUAGAUAUCGUAAGGAAGGCCGGUGGCGAAAGCGAGCCUCUGGACAGUUACUGACGCUGAUGCACGAAGGCCAGGGGAGCAAACGGG